CUAUACCUGGCGUGUUCUGACCUCCCAGUCUCUGCCCCCACCUUACACGCAGCCACCUUUGGUUUUGCAGUUUGCAGCCCUGCCCCGGGGGCUCCUGAUCACGCUCUGCCAUCAUCGUACAUCUUUGCAUCUCUGCUCGUCACUCCUCCACCUGGAAAGCUCCUUUGCCAUAUUUUUUUUUCCCCACAAGCAAAAUUCUACUCUCCUUGAAAGUUCCAACUCUGGCACUCUUCUUUCUGAGGUUCAGUCCGUGUUGCCUCUGGAGGUGGCUCCUUUCCUCCUGCUGUGAAUGCGUUCAUCGCGAUUGCCCCAGUGUGUUUGGCUAGCAUGCCUGUGUCCAUGCUACCUGUCACGUGCAUUGGAGACACUCAGGAGCCCAGCUGUUGGAAUUCAAAAAGGAAUUUGUUUCCCGUGGACCUGAGUUUAUUUACCAGCGGAACGAAAGACGGGAAUAGAUUGUGUCUUCAGUCCCUUGCUGGGCACGUCUUCCCCCUGCCUCCCCCACCUGCAGCACCUCCGUCACCACCGAGACGGACGCCUUUUCUUUGGGAUACAUCAGUAAAGGAGACAGGUAAAAUCUGCACCCAAAAAAACUUUGCAAAAAAUUGAGAGAGAAGCAAGAGACAAAUAUUUUCUAGGUCUAUUUACGAUUAAUGUAUCGAUGAUCAGAAUCUGCUCAUGUUACUUUUGACAGUACGAUUCUAGUAACAAAUUUUAAGCAUUUCUUUCAGUGAAACCACCAGGCCAUCUCUUCCAAAGCAGUGAUCAUAAGCUAUUUUGAUGAGUGUUUUUCCUACCCAACAUAAUCUUCCAAAAAUGGCAUCACAAUGAAAGACAGUGACGUUUGCCCCGAAUCUUGGUUUGAGUGCUAACGGGAAGGUGCACGUUAGCUUUGACUGCAUUGGCUUCCUUCAUCAAGAAUAUUUUUAAAUGAUAUAACCUUUCAAAAUCUUUAGUCUGUUCCAUUUAGUUCUCUCAAAGUUCUUCAAAUAAAGGCAGCUUUUAUCCACCUGCAUGGAUGGAUGGAUGGAUGGAUGGAUAGAUAGAUAGAUAGAUAGAUAGAUAGAUAGAUAAUUUAAGGGUAUGGACAAAGCUUUGUCAUACUGUGUGUAUUAAUGAUGCUGCGGACUGUCACUUAGUUGUCAGCUGACUAUGAUCUGGUUACAGUGCUUUCUCAUACUCUGAUUUACCCAACAACAACCAAAAAAAAAAAAGCAGAGGUCUUUUAUGUUAUUUACUUUAUUUCCGGUGUUCACGACCCCUCGGCACAGAAGGACGAAUAGAGGUGAAACAUUUUCGGGAGGUGAAAUGGAAGAGGAACAGGAACGCAUCUCAAACACCAGCGCUCCUCCUGAGACGUGGGGGCAUCGGUGGCGUGUCCCCUCCAGUCAGGGUAGAAGUAGCCCUUUUGGUGCUUGGCCCAGACGUGGUAGCUCUGGGCUUCACUGGAGACCAUGGCUUUUGUCGUGCCAAGCAUAGGGACAGCCAAUCCUUCUGGAGGUUAUGCUCAGCCUCAUCCACUUUUCCGUCCCCUCCUAAGCAACCAGUUAUACAUACUCAAGUUUGAAACCAGCAUUGGUAUUGAUGUAACUCAAGGGAUCGUGCUAAAUUUGGUAUAACCUGGCAAUGAGACCACAGACAGGAAGCUGGGAUCCAAGAGUCCCAGCCUUAUCACACCAGGAACUUCUGUCUGCACGAAGAAGGACACAGCGUGUUAUCAACAAAAGCAUCCUGGUGCCAUGGAGACCUCGGGCCCUUGUCAGUACAAAGGGACUUCUUUACCUCCCAAACAAUGCAAUUCUAAAAAUACACAGAUGCAUUCUUUGGAUUGAACAAACUAUGGGAAUUCUAGCUUUGCAUA
This is a long non-coding RNA of Phyllostomus discolor (pale spear-nosed bat), 1861 nucleotides long. RefSeq lists it as uncharacterized. The transcript is spliced from 2 exons. Lineage: Eukaryota; Metazoa; Chordata; Mammalia; Chiroptera; Phyllostomidae. The record is from RefSeq and is a predicted model, not a curated record.